GAUGAACGCUAGCGGGAGGCCUAAUACAUGCAAGUCGAACGGUAAGGUCCUUCGGGAUACACGAGUGGCGGACGGGUGCGUAACGCGUACGGAAUAUACCUUCAACAGGGAGAUACCUCCGGGAAACUGGAAUUAAUACCCAUAGUAUUAUAGAUUCGCAUGAAUUUAUGAUUAAAGCUCAGGCGGUUGAAGAUUAUCGUGCGUCUGAUUAGGUAGUUGGUAGGGUAAUGGCCGUACCAAGCCAACGAUCAGUAGCUGGUCGUGAGAGGAUGAUCAGCCACACUGGAACUGAGACACGGUCCAGACUCCUACGGGAGGCAGCAGUAGGGAAUAUUGGGCAAUGGAGGCAACUCUGACCCAGCCAUCCCGCGUGCAGGAAUAAGG
RNAcentral lists this ribosomal RNA (384 nucleotides) under uncultured bacterium. Its description in RNAcentral is "bacterial SSU rRNA". It matches the Rfam family "Bacterial small subunit ribosomal RNA", at positions 28 to 414 of the family's 1533-position model. The record is from RNAcentral.